AGGCUGUAGCAAAAUCAACAAGCUGGCAGAAGAAAAGUGGCUGGCUGUUGUUUCUAACUUUCCAACUUUCCCACUCACUGAACUUCUGAAAUUU
This is a small nucleolar RNA of Nymphaea colorata (pocket water lily), 94 nucleotides long. RefSeq annotates it as small nucleolar RNA snoR109. The record is from RefSeq and is a predicted model, not a curated record. The transcript has a single exon. NCBI's taxonomy places the organism in Eukaryota, Viridiplantae, Streptophyta, Magnoliopsida, Nymphaeales, Nymphaeaceae.